This 468-nucleotide ribosomal RNA is filed under the name uncultured bacterium. Its description in RNAcentral is "partial 16S ribosomal RNA". It matches the Rfam family "Bacterial small subunit ribosomal RNA", at positions 28 to 507 of the family's 1533-position model. The record is from RNAcentral.
GACGAACGCUGGCGGCGUGCUUAACACAUGCAAGUCGAACGGAAAGGCCCUGCUUUUGUGGGGUGCUCGAGUGGCGAACGGGUGAGUAACACGUGAGUAACCUGCCCUUGACUUUGGGAUAACUUCAGGAAACUGGGGCUAAUACCGGAUAGGAGCUCCUGCUGCAUGGUGGGGGUUGGAAAGUUUCGGCGGUUGGGGAUGGACUCGCGGCUUAUCAGCUUGUUGGUGGGGUAGUGGCUUACCAAGGCUUUGGCGGGUAGCCGGCCUGAGAGGGUGACCGGCGACAUUGGGACUAAGAUACGGCCCAGACUCCUACGGGAGGCAGCAGGGGGGAAUAUUGCACAGUGGGCGGAAGCGUGAUGCAGAAACGCCGCGUGCGGGAAGACGGCCUUCGGGUUGUAAACCGCUUUCGCCUGUGACGAAGCGUGAGUGACGGUAAUGGGUAAAGAAGCACCGGCUAACUACGUG